UGCAACCCAGAUGGCUGCCGAAGCAUCACGCGUUGCAUCCUCAGUGCCUCUAGGGGCCUUUGCAGAUAUCCUGGGUGCAGGAUUUCGCCGUGGGGCCACCAUCAACCUACCUUUCCGUGAUGAGGAGAUGGAAGAGUUUCCUGAAGAAUUUACAGCACCCUUUAACCCCUUCCCAGCCAAACCAGUCCUGUCCCAGGCUAUGAUAAAUGCCAUGUACGCUACGAGUCCUGAA
This 232-nucleotide long non-coding RNA is filed under the name Rattus norvegicus (Norway rat). Its description in RNAcentral is "long non-coding RNA NONRATT005214". Lineage: Eukaryota; Metazoa; Chordata; Mammalia; Rodentia; Muridae. The record is from RNAcentral.